UAGAUAACGACACAGUGUACAAUGUCAUGUUUUGUAGUUCACCUGAGAUAAUUUUUAAAUGUUGUCAUAGAUUAAAAAAAUGUAAUAAAUGAAAAUUUAAAGUUUUAACUAUACUGUCACAUUUGUCACACAAAUUUUGGCAAAGUGGUACACCAUAAAAGUAACUUUACUCCUAGAAUACAGGGAAUAUUAUCAACAGAAUUAAACUUUAACAUGACACAAGAUAUUGAUCAGUGCUUUUUUUUCCAUAAAAAUAAGAAGAUUUAAAAUGUGUUUAGGACAACUGUCUUGAUUUGUUUUUUGAACCUGCUGUUCUCCAAACUAAAGGAAAGUCUUUUGUUUUGUGCAGACACUACAAUGGUCAUCAUUGUCUCAGGGAGCUUAGCUCUUCUGGUCUGUGCCAUCAUCCCUGUUAUUUUCUAUGGACACUGGCGGAGUCACACAGGUCCGAACAGAGCUGAAGACAACAAGGGUGAGGGUGAUCAUCGGGAGGAAAAUACAGAUGUUGGAUCUGGUCAGGUUGCAGUGGAGCUGCAGGCCUUUGAGUCAGAUGUUGCUCCAGAGACCGAUGAUAAUUACACCUCCGCAUAUGCUGCCAUCUACGAGGCACGAGAACCUCAAACCAUGGACUGAGAAGUCUU
Molecule: long non-coding RNA, 641 nt
Organism: Astatotilapia calliptera (eastern happy)
Lineage: Eukaryota; Metazoa; Chordata; Actinopteri; Cichliformes; Cichlidae
Source: Ensembl